This 253-nucleotide unclassified non-coding RNA is filed under the name uncultured Polyangiaceae bacterium. Its description in RNAcentral is "contains 16S-23S intergenic spacer region". It matches the Rfam family "Bacterial small subunit ribosomal RNA", at positions 524 to 776 of the family's 1533-position model. Lineage: Bacteria; Pseudomonadati; Myxococcota; Polyangiales; Polyangiaceae. The record is from RNAcentral.
GACAGAGGGUGCAAACGUUGUUCGGAAUUACUGGGCGUAAAGCGAGUGUAGGCGGUUCGAUCAGUCGGAUGUGAAAGCCCCGGGCUCAACCCGGGAAGUGCACUCGAUACUGUCGAGCUAGAGUAUCGGAGAGGUUGGUGGAAUUCUCGGUGUAGAGGUGAAAUUCGUAGAUAUCGAGAGGAACACCGGUGGCGAAGGCGGCCAACUGGACGAAUACUGACGCUGAGACUCGAAAGCGUGGGGAGCAAACAGG